This 246-nucleotide long non-coding RNA is filed under the name Lathyrus oleraceus (garden pea). Its description in RNAcentral is "Pisum sativum (pea) long non-coding RNA (PSAT_LNC006531)". The record is from RNAcentral. Lineage: Eukaryota; Viridiplantae; Streptophyta; Magnoliopsida; Fabales; Fabaceae.
AUAAAGUAAAAGCUAGGGAGGAAAGAUCUAACUAAGAGAUAGCAAGCUUUAUGACAUAAUUCAAGCAAGAAUUCCCUCAUUCGAAUUAAGCCUCAAGCAAGCCAAACAAACAAAGAAUAAACCAUGUAUCAGAUGAAACCAGGAUAACUAACCCAAUUCUUCAAUAGAAGUCCAAAGUCCAAGGUAUCAGAUGAAUCCCAAAGUCGUAAAUCACAAGCUUUCAAAGCAAGGGUCAAGAUCCUAGUU